This 459-nucleotide ribosomal RNA is filed under the name uncultured bacterium. RNAcentral describes it as "bacterial SSU rRNA". It matches the Rfam family "Bacterial small subunit ribosomal RNA", at positions 392 to 809 of the family's 1533-position model. The record is from RNAcentral.
UUAUGCCGCGUGUGUGAAGAAGGCCUGCGGGUUGUAAAGCACUUUAAGGUGGAAAGAAGGCCUGAGGGCGANAUACCCCUUGCGGAUUGACGUUACCACCAGAAAUAAGCACCAGGCUAACUCCGUGCCAGCAGCCGCGGUAAUACUGGACGGGUUGCAACGCUGUUAAUUCGGAAUUACUUGGAGCAGUAACACGCGCGCGUAGAGCGGGUUCACUCCAGCUCUCGGCUGGUGACAAGCCCCUGGGCUUAACCUGGGGAACGGCACGUGGAUACUCGGUCGGCGCUCAGCAGUAUCCGGUACGAGGGGAGUGGACUUUCCGGUGUAGCAGUGAACUGCGUAGAGAUCGGCCGGAACACCAGUGGCGAAGGCGGCUCUCUGGACCAAUACUGACGCUGAGGUGCGAACGCGUGGGGAGCAAACAGGAUUAGAUACCCUGGUAGUCCACGCCCUAACCGG